This 1017-nucleotide ribosomal RNA is filed under the name uncultured bacterium. Its description in RNAcentral is "bacterial SSU rRNA". It matches the Rfam family "Bacterial small subunit ribosomal RNA", at positions 355 to 1375 of the family's 1533-position model. The record is from RNAcentral.
UGAGGAAUAUUGGUCAAUGGGCGAGAGCCUGAACCAGCCAAGUAGCGUGAAGGAUGACUGCCCUAUGGGUUGUAAACUUCUUUUAUAAAGGAAUAAAGUCGGGUAUGCAUACCCGUUUGCAUGUACUUUAUGAAUAAGGAUCGGCUAACUCCGUGCCAGCAGCCGCGGUAAUACGGAGGAUCCGAGCGUUAUCCGGAUUUAUUGGGUUUAAAGGGAGCGUAGAUGGAUGUUUAAGUCAGUUGUGAAAGUUUGCGGCUCAACCGUAAAAUUGCAGUUGAUACUGGCAGUCUUGAGUACAGUAGAGGUGGGCGGAAUUCGUGGUGUAGCGGUGAAAUGCUUAGAUAUCACGAAGAACUCCGAUUGCGAAGGCAGCUCACUGGACUGCAACUGACACUGAUGCUCGAAAGUGUGGGUAUCAAACAGGAUUAGAUACCCUGGUAGUCCACACAGUAAACGAUGAAUACUCGCUGUUUGCGAUAUACGGUAAGCGGCCAAGCGAAAGCGUUAAGUAUUCCACCUGGGGAGUACGCCGGCAACGGUGAAACUCAAAGGAAUUGACGGGGGCCCGCACAAGCGGAGGAACAUGUGGUUUAAUUCGAUGAUACGCGAGGAACCUUACCCGGGCUUAAAUUACAUUUGAAUAAUCUGGAAACAGUUUAGCCGUAAGGCAAAUGUGAAGGUGCUGCAUGGUUGUCGUCAGCUCGUGCCGUGAGGUGUCGGCUUAAGUGCCAUAACGAGCGCAACCCUUAUCUUCAGUUACUAACAGGUCAUGCUGAGGACUCUGGAGAGACUGCCGUCGUAAGAUGUGAGGAAGGUGGGGAUGACGUCAAAUCAGCACGGCCCUUACGUCCGGGGCUACACACGUGUUACAAUGGGGGGUACAGAAGGCAGCUACCUGGUGACAGGAUGCUAAUCCCAAAAACCUCUCUCAGUUCGGAUCGAAGUCUGCAACCCGACUUCGUGAAGCUGGAUUCGCUAGUAAUCGCGCAUCAGCCAUGGCGCGGUGAAUACGUUCCC